This 913-nucleotide ribosomal RNA is filed under the name uncultured compost archaeon. RNAcentral describes it as "bacterial SSU rRNA". It matches the Rfam family "Archaeal small subunit ribosomal RNA", at positions 1 to 922 of the family's 1478-position model. The record is from RNAcentral.
UUCCGGUUGAUCCUGCCGGAGGUCACUGCUAUCGGGGUUCGAUUAAGCCAUGCGAGUCGAGAGGGUUCAGACCCUCGGCGGACUGCUCAGUAACACGUGGAUAAUCUGCCCUAUGGUGGAGGAUAACCCCGGGAAACUGGGGAUAAUACUCCAUAAGUCAGGAGUACUGGAAUGUCUCCUAACUGAAAGUUUCGGCGCCAUAGGAUGAAUCUGCGGCCGAUUAGGUAGUUGUUGGGGUAACGGCCCAACAAGCCCGUAAUCGGUACGGGUUGUGGGAGCAAGAGCCCGGAGAUGGAAUCUGAGACACGAUUCCAGGCCCUACGGGGCGCAGCAGGCGCGAAAACUUUACAAUGCAGGAAACUGUGAUAAGGGAACCCCGAGUGCCCGUACACGCGGGCUGUCCCGGUGUUUAAAACACAUCGGAAGAAAGGGCCGGGCAAGACCGGUGCCAGCCGCCGCGGUAAUACCGGCGGCUCGAGUGGUGACCACUUUUAUUGGGCUUAAAGCGUUCGUAGCUUGAUUUUUAAGUCUCUUGGGAAAUCUCACGGCUUAACUGUGAGGCGUCUAAGAGAUACUGGGAAUCUAGGGACCGGGAGAGGUAAGAGGUACUUCAGGGGUAGAAGUGAAAUUCUGUAAUCCUUGAGGGACCACCGAUGGCGAAGGCAUCUUACCAGAACGGCUUCGACAGUGAGGAACGAAAGCUGGGGGAGCGAACGGGAUUAGAUACCCCGGUAGUCCCAGCCGUAAACUAUGCGCGUUAGGUGUGCCUGUAACUACGAGUUACCGGGGUGCCGAAGUGAAAACGUGAAACGUGCCGCCUGGGAAGUACGGUCGCAAGGCUGAAACUUAAAGGAAUUGGCGGGGGAGCACCACAACGGGUGGAGCCUGCGGUUUAAUUGGAGUCAACGCCGGA